AUGGCAUUAGUGGCAGGCAGCAGGUUUGGUAACACACGCACAGGUAAAGCGCGAGCGGAGAGAUGGGGGUUGGUUUUGAUUUGGAGACAGGGAUGAGACAGAGCAUGGGAUGGGGCCAUCAACAAAGUGGAGGGACUAGCUUGCGAGGCAGAAAGAAGGUGCCAGUGCCGGUGCCUCCCCGGUGAAACGAUGAUGGGAGUGUUGUUGCUCCCUCCCCUGCACUGCCUCUUCCCUGGCUCCGAUCCCCCACCGUUGCCCAUCCAUCAUCUCCCUCUCGCUCUCGUUUAUGCUCUUGCCUGCAUUCUUUUUCACAGUAGGCAUGCAGUACUACUUUUGGUUCUCUUUGCAAUAUAUAUACUGCAGGUUUGCUAAUCGCUAAGAGCCUAAGAAUCUUCCGCCUGGAGUGGACUGUACUUUCAGGAAAAAUCGUUCUAAAAUAUCCGGUCUGCAUCUUCGGGGAGGACGAUUGGGCGCGACGAUGCCUCGGUACCCCAAGAAACAGGAUCCCAUCGAUCGGUGCUCAAGCUCGCCAGCAACCAAA
RNAcentral lists this precursor RNA (541 nucleotides) under Zea mays. RNAcentral's name for it is "precursor miRNA zma-miR408". The stretch from base 68 to 256 matches the Rfam family "MIR408 microRNA precursor family". The record is from RNAcentral. Lineage: Eukaryota; Viridiplantae; Streptophyta; Magnoliopsida; Poales; Poaceae.